GCUCACGUCUCACGCAUGCGUACACACCGGCGCCGGCUGUAGCCGCUGGGUGGGCACAGAAGGCCGCGAUGUACGUGCGUUGAUCACGUGUCGGUCACCGUCUCUACCCCCGCUGGGGCCUCGCGAGGUCUGGAGCGAGUGGUCAGUCAGGGAACGUGACCGAGGCCCGUGGUGUCGCCGGGAGCUUGAGGGGUCGGACCAGACUCAGUAGACGCGAGGUAGGGGACCCUGGGACUAGCAGGGUACCCACCAGCUGCCAUCUUCCUGAGUGGGGGAUGGACCGUUUCCUCACCAACAGGUCACGUUUGCUUUCCUCGUUGUGUGGCGCGGAGGUGACGUUAGCCUGCCCAAAGCUUCACAACUGGUUAGGAUCCGCCAAGACAAAGCCGCAGAAGCGUCCUCGAAACCUUGCGACAGCCGGGUCCGUGUCAGACUCCGGCUUCCGCGCUCUUCCUCAGGCCCUGCACUCUCCAGCUGUCUGGCAGCGGGUUAACGGCGGAGAACGUAAGGAUUAGAACAUUAACCAGAAGACCUGGAGAGUCCACUAUGAACUUACUGAUUGGGGAACCUUUUCAGAGAAGGAAGAUAUUUAGAGCAGGGAUCGUUCACUCUCUCGGGAGAAGGUUAUACCUCUUAAAAGAUCCCACCGCAAAACUGCCUUCCUGAGGACCAAGCCAACAACACACCUUGGCAGCCAAGCCACAUCCAAACAGUAUCAAAGAGGAUGUCUCAAAGAGAGGUCUUAGUGGUGUGUUCUCCAGUGUUUUUGUUUUAAUGAACAAACAACAAAAACAACUCAGAACAGACUCUUCAGGGUGCUAAAUAACUUGCCAGAGCCGGCCGCUUUUCCUGAAAAAGCCUCAGCCCCAGGGAACCAGGAAUGGCCGCCUAAGUCUGCCUCCGUGGGACAUUUCACGUAUGCCGAGCCACAUGUGACCGGCUUGUUUCACCAGCACGGUGUGCUCAGCUCAGCCAUGCCGAGGAAAGCAUCUCAAAUAACGAGAAAGGCGGCAGGAGAGCAGGGAGUCGGAGGUGCUGCUGCUCUCCUCCUGGGCUUGCCACUGCCCUCUGCCCUGCGGGUCCCUGGCUGGUUCUGAACCUCUCCGGUGCUCGGGUUGUGCACUGUAUUAGUCACUCUCCUGUCACUGAGACACGCUGUUCUCUGUGCAUCUGCCUUGGGCUGCGAUCUGCAGAAGGACCUCCCACACACUCUUGGUGGGGCAAGCUCUGGACAGCUCACAGCGAGGGAAAGCCACAGGGUCACCAGGAAAACAUGGCUGCCCGUCGUGGUUGUGUAUUCAAAUUAAGGCGCAGGAGAAAUUUGGGGAAGAGAUGAAGACGUCCACCCUCAGGUGACAGAGGAGAUGCGGGCAGCUGUGGAACUCUUACGAGGGGACGGUGUCUGGUUCUCUCCCUGUAGAGAGCGACAGGACGUGAUGGCGGGGUGGCCGGUACACAGGGCUUGACGAAAGUGACUCCAUUUUAGAUUCUGACAACUUGCACCCAAAAGUCCCAGGACAGGAGCAGAAGUAUAUCCUACCUCUAACCUGAAGGAGGUAGAAUAUAUUGGGAUCAAAUUAUUUUCCAGUGGAUAAAUAAUGAGCAGGAAAGAACCGAGAUGUAUACUCACUUUUUCAAAAUCUACAGCAGGAUGGAACACUGUCGCCUGUCCAUCAGAUGUCACCAGCAGCAGAGCACCGUCACUUGCCAGUAGACUCCUGUCUCUUGCCAAUGGAAUGCUGUUGUCACUUGUGCCGGCAAGUGGAACACUGUCUCAGUGGGACACAGGGAGGGGUGUUUGUGCAUGAGCUGGCCUGGAGGUGCCUCAGGACAUCCAGGCGGAGAUAGAAAGUUGGCGGUGGGGGCAUCUAGAGGGCUGUGGGCAGAGCCCUGGAGAUCGUGUAGGGCCAGGGAGGGAGCCUAGCCCAUACCCAGGAGAGUCCAGCUUUGGGGAGUUUGAGGUUCCUGGAGAGGGUAUUGGGAAGAUGUGGAUCCAGAACCCCGGAGCGCCCAGGGAUGGGAGCCUGGCCCAGGGAGCCAGGGAAUGGAGACCACCGGAGACUCCUCCAGAGCAAGCUCAGGAAGAGGAGACUGGCCUGAGGGUGAGUGUCCACUGUGCCCCAGGUCUGGAAGUCAGGCCAGCCCUGAGUCCUUCGGGCAUCAAGGACAAGGUGCUGAUCAAGUUGCCAGGCCAGAGAGAAAGGUGCAGCUAGCAGUUCUGCAACCCAUCUGCAAGACCCAGCCCUGCUGAGACACGUCUGCUAUGCGCUGGGCCCUGGCACCGGGGACUGGACCCAUGGCCUUUGUACUGAGCUAUACCCCAGCUCUUUUUAAAUUUUGACACAGGCUCUUGCUAAGUCA
Fukomys damarensis (Damara mole-rat) is the source of this 2361-nucleotide long non-coding RNA. RefSeq lists it as uncharacterized. Lineage: Eukaryota; Metazoa; Chordata; Mammalia; Rodentia; Bathyergidae. The record is from RefSeq and is a predicted model, not a curated record. The transcript has 8 exons.